Molecule: ribosomal RNA, 439 nt
Filed under: uncultured bacterium
Lineage: Bacteria
Description: partial 16S ribosomal RNA
Rfam family: Bacterial small subunit ribosomal RNA
Source: RNAcentral
CUACGGGCCGCACCAGUGAGGAAUAUUGCACAAUGGGGGGAACCCUGAUGCAGCAACGCCGCGUGGAGGAUGACGCAUUUCGGUGUGUAAACUCCUUUUAUAUGUCAAGAAAAUGACGGUAGCAUAUGAAUAAGCACCGGCUAACUCCGUGCCAGCAGCCGCGGUAAUACGGAGGGUGCAAGCGUUACUCGGAAUCACUGGGCGUAAAGGAAGCGUAGGCGGGUUGGAAAGUCAGGUGUGAAAUCCUACAGCUUAACUGUAGAACUGCACUUGAAACUUCUAAUCUAGAGUAUGGGAGGGGGAGAUGGAAUUAGUGGUGUAGGGGUAAAAUCCGUAGAUAUCACUAGGAAUACCUAAAGCGAAGGCGAUCUCCUGGAACAUUACUGACGCUAAGGCGUAAAAGCGUGGGGAGCAAACAGGAUUAGAUACCCUCGUAGUC